Potamilus streckersoni is the source of this 73-nucleotide non-coding RNA. The record is from the annotation of a GenBank genome assembly. NCBI's taxonomy places the organism in Eukaryota, Metazoa, Mollusca, Bivalvia, Unionida, Unionidae.
GCUUCGGUGACCUAGUGGUUAGAGCGUCCGCCUCGAAUGAGGUAGGUCCCGGGUUCAAACCCCGGCCGAGUCA